GACGAACGCUGGCGGCGUGCUUAACACAUGCAAGUCGAACGGAAAGGCGCUGCUUUUGUGGGGUGCUCGAGUGGCGAACGGGUGAGUAACACGUGAGUAACCUCUCCUUGUCUUUGGGAUAAAUUCAGGAAACUGGGGCUAUUACAGGAUAGGAGCUCCUGCUGCAUGGUGGGGGUUGGUAAGUUUCGGCUGUUGGGGCUGGAAUCGCGGCUUAUCAGCUUGUUGGUGGGGUAGUGGCUUACCAAGGCUUUGACGGGUAGCCGGCCUGGGAGGGUGACCGGCCACAAGGGGACUGAGAGACGGCGCAGAAUCCUACGUGAGGCAGCAGGGGGGAAUAUGGCACAGCGGGCGGAAGCCUGAUGUGGCAACGCCGCGUGCGUGAAGCCGUCUUUCUGGGUAUGAACCGCUUUGGCCUGAGACGAAGCGGGAGUGACGGUAAUGAGUAAAGAAGCACCGGCUAACUACGUG
RNAcentral lists this ribosomal RNA (468 nucleotides) under uncultured bacterium. RNAcentral describes it as "partial 16S ribosomal RNA". It matches the Rfam family "Bacterial small subunit ribosomal RNA", at positions 28 to 507 of the family's 1533-position model. The record is from RNAcentral.